GCAUUGUGGGAAGUAGCCAUGGUCUGAGGCUGGCGCCUCACCUGUCAGCCAGCCGGGCUGCCAAGCUCUCUUCUGGCUGUCGCAUCCUUGGCGAUUGCCACUGUCGCCACCCGGACGGCUGCGGCCACCAUGAUACAUUUCAUCUUGCUCUUCAGUCGACAAGGGAAACUUCGGCUGCAGAAAUGGUACACCACACUCCCUGACAAAGAGAGGAAGAAGAUCACCCGGGAGAUCAUCCAGUCUGUGCUGUCUCGUGGGCACAGGACAAGCAGCUUCAUUGACUGGAAGGAGUUGAAACUUGUUUAUAAAAGGUAUGCUAGUUUAUAUUUUUGCUGUGCAAUAGAAAAUCAAGACAAUGAGCUCUUGACACUAGAGAUUGUACAUCGUUAUGUGGAGUUACUGGACAAAUACUUUGGAAAUGUCUGUGAACUGGAUAUUAUCUUUAAUUUUGAAAAGGCAUAUUUUAUCCUCGAUGAAUUUAUAAUAGGUGGAGAAAUUCAGGAAACAUCCAAGAAAACAGCAGUCAAAGCCAUUGAAGACUCUGAUAUGUUACAGGAGCAGGUCAAGAGUCAAGAGGAUUUCAAGGACUAUAAAGUACCUUUUUAAAAUUGGUGCUAAAGCCAUUCUUCCUGCUCUUUGGAAAUAAGAGACUGAUUAAGUUAAUAAGACAUUAGGCAUGAUUUCCCAGCAACUGUCUUGGCAGUACUUUGAACUGAUUCCUUACUCCUGCCCAUGGAGGGACUCCAUCCUCAGACAAUGGAAGAAUACAUGAACAAGCCCACAUUUUAAGUGUACAGUCUACUUGAAGAUUCGGAGUGCUUCGUGUUUUGAAUCUACAAAUAAGCAACUUUUUGCAUCCAGUCUCUACACAGCUUCUGGCACCAUGCCAAAAAUAACUUAAAGGGAUUCCAUGUUAGCUAGCAAAACUUAAUGUUGUUAGCAUAAUGUAUUUAUAGUUACUAUGUGUCUGUAUUAUACUGUGUAUGAGUACUCAUUGUUGCAUAAUUGCUGCAGAUUGAAUGGUUGCUUGCAGUGUUUUAAGUCCUUGUGAUAUAUUUAAGGUAAUUUCAAAUAUUAGUUACAAUAUAAUGAUUUUUGUUGCCACUUGAUCUUAUACCUGUAGACUGAAAACUACAUUGUACUAACACACAGUUUUGAAUGUAAAGUAUAUUUUAUAUAACUAAUGCUUUUCCUAAAUGUUUUUUAAGAGGUACAUGAAUGCAAAUUUAUGCUAAUAGUUCAGAUUUCAUACAUGAUGCAGACAUUUUUAAUAUGUUCAAUACUACUUUAAUUUCAGGUCAGAUACAGUAUAUCUGACUUUAAUGUCUUGAAUUCAACUUAUUUUUUUCAGAAUUGGGAUAGAACUUCAUAAGUGAUUUUGGUGUCUUAGAAGGUGCUAAAUUGAGGUUUUUACUUUAUUUUCAGUUGAAUAUAAGGGACAUUUCAAUAAGGUUAUGUUUUCUAUAAACUAUAUAUUUAUUAAGCUUUCAGGAGAUCUGGAGAUAAAAUGUAAAAGCAUCUCCUACUAUUACCAAAGUACUAAGAAAGGAACAGCUAGAGCAAUAAUUGUGAUCUCUACUGCUAAUGUAUAUCUCAUGUUCCAAUUAGUCCUUUCGAUCAAGAGACUUCUUCAGAGUGGAAUGUACUAGGCUUCCUUAGGGCAUGUAGUUUCAUUGUACCUUUUAUGGGAGGUGAUUCUAUUCCUUUCCCCUCCUCCUCCCAGGAAAAUAUUGUCUGCUGACCACUGUUAUUGUGACCAUGUCACCUUCAGGCUUCCAAAACAGAAGAUCUGCAUAGUCAGGAUCUUAUUGCGCUCAGACGUGAGAUAGGAAGUGGCUUGUAGCAUUUGUUCUUGGCGCCUGUGUCUGGAGUUUCGUGUGUGCAUUUUCAGUGUUGGUUUCCAGGUCUGAUGUCAUUCAUAACAGAGUUUUUCCUAAGAUGAUAGUGAGCUUGUUUUUGUAUUCUGUGGAUGAUCCCAAAAGGUGGCGCCUUAGAGAAUGUGAUGGCUUGUUGUCUCUGAUUCAUCUCAUCAGGCAUAUUUAAAGGAUGGUGGCAAAACCAGAGCAGAAUAACGGUCAGACACACAGAACAUUCCUCAAUAUAACCAUGUAUUUUAAGGCAAUAAGUCAGUUUACAUAUGAGGUAAUAACUGGGCUUUUAGUAGCUGAUGUAUCUUCAAAAUAACAAUAUGAUUACAGCAGCAGGUUGACAUUUGUCCAACUUUGUUUAGACAGUCUUCAGUUUUUUUCACUAACUUAAAAAAUGAUAAUUUUUUUUUCAAACAUUCUGUAAAACUGAACUUUCUGUAAUUUCAGAGGUUUUCAGGUUCCUUCUCAUUGCUUUUGGAUGAAGGUCUCUUUUGAGCCUCAUUAAAUGUACUGCUAAUAUCCUGAAUAAUAGCAUAUUUGACACUGUCCAGCUUGUACAAGGAUUCUUCCUGUUAAUGUACACAUAGAAAGUCAUAUUUAUGUGGCAUUCUGUGGUAAGUCCAAAGGAUUUGAGGAACAGCUCACAUGAGCUUUAAUGAAAAAAUCAUUAGGUAUAUUUUCUUUAUUAUUUUAAAAUUCUAAGAAGUACCAAGUGAAAGAAAAAAUAAUACUGAAUUUGUAUAAAACUCUCAAAUAAAAUGUUAAAAAAUGUU
Molecule: non-coding RNA, 2641 nt
Organism: Cricetulus griseus (Chinese hamster)
Lineage: Eukaryota; Metazoa; Chordata; Mammalia; Rodentia; Cricetidae
Source: RefSeq, a predicted model, not a curated record